CAAGAAGACAACACCAAAAAAGACAGAAAAGAAAGUAAAAUGCCGAGAGACGAGGUUGGAACAUUGAGCAAAUUUCUGUCAGCCGAUAAGAAGCAGAACAGUUCCAAUCUUUUAAAACGGUGGUCUUGGCUUAACCCAAUUACUCCCAAGAAUAAGAAAGGAAAGGAACAGAAAAACCUGGAGAAAAAAGCAAAGAAAGAGAGACGAGCCAUGUUGUUAUUUUUUCGAUUGUUUGGGAGAUAACAAGGAAAUCUCUUAUGCAAUUUCCACAAAAAGAACAGCGAAAUAUGAUGUUAAUUAUAUAUCUUAGAGUAAAAAGUUGUUUUAAAUGUUUGAAGUAAUUAAUGCAUACAUUUUAAUUAGAUUGUUAAUGCAUAAUAAAC
This is a long non-coding RNA of Ostrea edulis (European flat oyster), 383 nucleotides long. RefSeq lists it as uncharacterized. The record is from RefSeq and is a predicted model, not a curated record. NCBI's taxonomy places the organism in Eukaryota, Metazoa, Mollusca, Bivalvia, Ostreida, Ostreidae. The transcript has 3 exons.